RNAcentral lists this ribosomal RNA (484 nucleotides) under uncultured bacterium. Its description in RNAcentral is "partial 16S ribosomal RNA". It matches the Rfam family "Bacterial small subunit ribosomal RNA", at positions 30 to 507 of the family's 1533-position model. The record is from RNAcentral.
AUUGAACGCUGGCGGCAGGCCUAACACAUGCAAGUCGAGCGGAUGAAGGGAGCUUGCUCCUGGAUUCAGCGGCGGACGGGUGAGUAAUGCCUAGGAAUCUGCCUGGCAGUGGGGGAUAACGUCCGGAAACGGGCGCUAAUACCGCAUACGUCCUGAGGGAGAAAGUGGGGGAUCUUCGGACCUCACGCUAUCAGAUGAGCCUAGGUCGGAUUAGCUAGUUGGUGGGGUAAAGGCCUACCAAGGCGACGAUCCGUAACUGGUCUGAGAGGAUGAUCAGUCACACUGGAACUGAGACACGGUCCAGACUCCUACGGGAGGCAGCAGUGGGGAAUAUUGGACAAUGGGCGAAAGCCUGAUCCAGCCAUGCCGCGUGUGUGAAGAAGGUCUUCGGAUUGUAAAGCCCUUUAAGUUGGGAGGAAGGGCAGUAAGUUAAUACCUUGCUGUUUUGACGUUACCAACAGAAUAAGCACCGGCUAACUUCGUG